AUUGAACGCUGGCGGCAUGCCUAACACAUGCAAGUCGAACGGAAACGAUGGGAGCUUGCUCCCAGGCGUCGAGUGGCGGACGGGUGAGUAAUACUUAGGAAUCUGCCCAGUAGUGGGGGACAACCCGGGGAAACCCGGGCUAAUACCGCGUAAUCUCUACGGAGGAAAGAGGGCCUCUUCUUGAAAGCUCUCGCUAUUGGAUGAGCCUAAGUCGGAUUAGCUUGUUGGUGGGGUAAAGGCCUACCAAGGCGACGAUCCGUAGCUGGUCUGAGAGGACGAUCAGCCACACUGGGACUGAGACACGGCCCAGACUCCUGCGGGAGGCAGCAGUGGGGAAUAUUGGACAAUGGGCGCAAGCCUGAUCCAGCGAUGCCGCGUGUGUGAAGAAGGCCUGCGGGUUGUAAAGCACUUUCAGUAGGGAAGAAAAGCCGAGUGCUAUAUCAUUCGGUCUUGACGUUACUUACAGAAAGAAGCACCGGCCAACUACGUGCCAGCAGCC
This 499-nucleotide ribosomal RNA is filed under the name uncultured bacterium. RNAcentral's name for it is "bacterial SSU rRNA". It matches the Rfam family "Bacterial small subunit ribosomal RNA", at positions 30 to 516 of the family's 1533-position model. The record is from RNAcentral.